CUUCAACGAACCCAGCAGGAGCGGGUGUUCACGGUCCUGGCCGUAGGUCGCCAGCAACGCCUGCGCCUC
Streptomyces bungoensis is the source of this 69-nucleotide non-coding RNA. It matches the Rfam family "ASpks TB sRNA". Lineage: Bacteria; Bacillati; Actinomycetota; Actinomycetes; Kitasatosporales; Streptomycetaceae. The record is from Rfam.